GUGCAGCAGGCGAGAAAACUUCACACUGUGCGAAAGCACGAUGAGGGAAUCCCAAGUGCUUGCACGUAAGUGUAAGCUGUUUCUCUGUCUAAAACGCAGAGAGAGUAAGGGCUGGGUAAGACGGGUGCCAGCCCGCCGCGGUAAUACCUGCAGCUCAAGUGGUGACCGUUAUUAUUGGGCCUAAAACGUCCGUAGCCGGUUUAAUAAAUGCCUGGGUAAAUUGUGUAGCUUAACUAUACGAAUUCCGGGUAGACUGUUAAACUUGAGACCGGGAGAAGUUAGAGGUACUCCUGGGGUAGAGGUGAAAUUCUGUAAUCCUAGGGGGACCACCAGUGGCGAAGGCGUCUAACUAGAACGGGUCUGACGGUGAGGGACGAAG
Molecule: ribosomal RNA, 379 nt
Filed under: uncultured microorganism
Description: bacterial SSU rRNA
Rfam family: Archaeal small subunit ribosomal RNA
Source: RNAcentral